This 68-nucleotide transfer RNA is filed under the name Japanagallia curvipenis. Its description in RNAcentral is "tRNA-Gln". Lineage: Eukaryota; Metazoa; Arthropoda; Insecta; Hemiptera; Cicadellidae. The record is from RNAcentral.
UGUAAUUAGGUGUAUGUUGCACAUAAAUUUUUGAUAUUUAAAGGUAAGUUUAAUUCUUAGAUUUACAA